UGCGCCACGUAGGGCACGCCCUGCCCGGCUUGCAAAGACGCCGGGUGCCCCGCCUGCUCCCCAGCCCUGCUGGGUCUGGCCCCGAAAGGUCCCGACGCCCAUCUUCUGUCCCCGCCUCCUACCUCGGGGCUGAGGUGCAGCUAACCGCGGUGCGCCCCGACGCCCGGCCACCCGGCCACCAGCGAGCCUGGAGCUAGCCGAGGCAACACGCAGGAGUCGGUGAUGCCCACCUGCUCCCCACGGUCAUUCGCUCAUCGAGGGUUCCAGCCAGUGGAGCCAGCAAUACAGGAAGUGGCUUUUGAAGUUGCCAGAGGCUGGGAAGGCAGCUCCAAGACAGGCCCAGCUCCUCCAGGUGGCAGGAUGGGAAGGAACUGGCGAAGCAUUCUGGACGCACCGCCCUCAUUUGGCGGAGCAGCCUGAGGGGCAGCAGAGGCCGCGGGGGCGUUCCGGAAAGGUGAGAAGAGGGAUGCGGUCAAUGCUGCCCUGCCAGCCCGGCACAAAUUAUUCAUGGGCGGCAUCGGAGUCUUGGAAGGAUCCCUGGCUGGCGCGGAGGUCUCGGUGAGACCUUGGUGAACGCUCCCUGGCUUCCUGAGCACACGUGACUGUCCGCGGGACACCGGGCAGUGUUGCGCGCUCUGACCAGAUGGUCACUGGGAACAAAUUCCAGUCCUCUGCAGCGAGGCAGGGUGUAGACAGACAGAGUGACAGAUGCCAAUAAACCCAAAGGCAUCAGGGAGCCCACUGAGGCCCAGGCAAGGAAAGCCCCGUGCCAGACAUGGAGGGAGGGCCUCCUUCCUGCCCCAUCAGAGGCUGUGGAGGGCAGUGGCCCUGGGUGCUGGGCGCCCUGGAAGAGUGAGGGGCCUGGCAGGGUGGAGGUGCUGGCAGGAAUGUAGGCCAUUUCCCUUGCAAAAAUGAAAUU
This is a long non-coding RNA of Heterocephalus glaber (naked mole-rat), 919 nucleotides long. The record is from Ensembl. Lineage: Eukaryota; Metazoa; Chordata; Mammalia; Rodentia; Bathyergidae.